CCUUAAGAGAGCAAUAGAGUUCCCAUCCUUGAUUUUUAAUUUUACUUGCAAAAGUAAAGCCUUCUAUCUCAAAGAACCGAAAAUCUAUAUUUUUCCCGGUUUCUACUUUUCUAUCAGAAAGAGGAUUUACACUGGGGCUUAUGGAGGAUUGAGAGGGACCUUGAGUAGGUACUGAAACUGGAGUGGGAGCAGUUGAAGAUUGAGCGGCUUGCCUUUUCUUUCUGACAAUUUCUUCAGGCUCAUGGAUUGAUUUUCUUCUUUGGGGAAGUUUCAUCUUUGGAGCCAUAUCCACUAUACUAGCAGACAAGGAGACUUGAAUUGAGUGGAGGAGGGAUCACAAGAGAGUGAAAAAAGAUUUUGGUGGAGAAAAGAAGUGGAUUUUGGAAUAUCGGUAAAGUGCUAGGGCACGUUCCAAUCUGCGCCAAGCAAUGCGAGAAGGCACAGAAAAUCUUUUUCGAGGAGGCGAUUUUUGGUGGAGAGGAGGAGGGAGAAUUGCCUCGAAAUUAAUCCUUAGAUUUUGGAGCAAGAAGAGUUGGAGAAGAUGGCUUUUGGAAGAAGAGCGAUGGGAAGAUGAGUCGUCUCACAAACAGUAACCCUUAUAAAAACAAUGAACCCGUUGAAAGUUGGUGGGAUUUACAAGUUUGCCAUUGAGUCGACUCAUGGGGGUCGACUCAUGAAGUUCAGAAAUUCAGAAAAAAUACAAAUAAAUUCCAAAAAAAUUCAAAAAUUUGGGAGAAAAAAUUUUGCUCAAUGAUAAGUUU
RNAcentral lists this long non-coding RNA (761 nucleotides) under Elaeis guineensis (African oil palm). RNAcentral describes it as "long non-coding RNA (EGUI_LNC060725)". Lineage: Eukaryota; Viridiplantae; Streptophyta; Magnoliopsida; Arecales; Arecaceae. The record is from RNAcentral.